RNAcentral lists this long non-coding RNA (2072 nucleotides) under Cyanistes caeruleus (blue tit). RNAcentral describes it as "lncRNA (ENSCCEG00000000697.1)". Lineage: Eukaryota; Metazoa; Chordata; Aves; Passeriformes; Paridae. The record is from RNAcentral.
GGGAUCCGAGGGGUUGGGAUCGUUGGGAUUGGGAUCGUUGGGAUCCGUGGGAUCGAGAUCCAUGGGAUCGGGAUCCACGGGAUCGGGAUUGGGACUGGGAUUGGGAUUGGGAUUGCAUUCCUGGGAUUUGGAUUGGGAUCCACGGGAUUGGGGUGGGAUUGGGAUUGGGAUUGCAUUCUUGGGAUUGGGAUUGGGAUCCACAGGAUUGGGGUGGGAAUGGGAUUGGGAUUGCAUUCUUGGGAUUGGGAUUGGGAUCCACGGGAUUGGGGUGGGAUUGGGAUUGGGAUCCAUGGGAUUGGGACUGGAAUUGGGAUUGGGAUCCAUGGGAUCAGGAUUGGAACUGGAAUUAGGAUUAGGAUCGGGAUCAUUGGGAUUGGGGUUGGGAUGGGAUCCUUGGGAUUGGGAUCCAUGGGAUUUGGAUUGGGAUGGGAUUGGGAUCAGGCUGGGAUCCUUGGGAUUGGGAUGGGAUUGGGAUUGGGAUUGGGAUGGGAUCAUUGGGAUUGAGAUUAGGGUGGGAUCUGGGAUAGAUUGGAAGUGCUGUCAGGAUUAGCUGAGAUUGGGAUCGGGAUCGGGAUCAGGAUUAGAUCUGGGUUUGGGAUCGGGAUUGGGAUUGGAUUUGGGAUUGGGAUUGGGAUUGGGAUUGGAUUUGUGUUUGGGACCGGGAUUGGGAUCAGGAUGGGGUGGGAGCUCCUUUCCCAUCCGGUGUCCUGGAAUUCCAGCCUAGAGCUGGGCUCAUCCCCAUCCCAAACAUCCCAGACAUUCCCUGCCCAUCCCCGACAUUCCCUACAGCCGUUUUUCCUGCUGAGUUAUCCCAAUCCCAUCAAUCCCAAUCCCAUCGUUCCCAAUCCCAAAUCCCCAAUCCCAAUCCCCCAUUCCCAAUCCCAAAUCCCCAAUCCCAAUCCCAAAUCCCCAAUCCCAAAUCCCCAAUCCCAAUCCCUCAUUCCCAAUCCCAAAUUCCCAUUCCCAAUUUCCCAAAUCCCCAAUCCCAAAUUCCCUAUCUCAUCAUUCCCAUUCCUAACCCCAUCAAUCCCAAUCCCAAAUCCCCAAUCCCAAAUCCCCAUUCCCAAUCCCCCAUUCCCAAUCCCAAAUCCCCAAUCCCAAAUUCCCAAUCCCAAAUCUCCAAUCCCAAUCCCAAUUUCCCAUUCCCAAAUUCCCAAUCCCAAAUUCCCAAUCCCAAAUCCCCAAUCCCAAAUUCCCAAUCCCAAAUCCCCAAUCCCAAUCCCAAUUUCCCAAUCCCAAUUUCCCAAAUUCCCAUUCCCAAAUCCCAAGUUCCCAAUCCCCAAUCCCAGAUUUCCCGGCGUUCCCGUUUUUCCCCAGGGAAGCGGCGGCUUCAUCCCAAUCCCAAAUUCCCAAUCCCAAAUUCCCAAUCCCAAAUUCCCAAUCCCAAAUUCCCAUUCCCAAAUCCCCCAUCCCAAUCCCCCAUUCCCAAAUCCCCAAUCCCAAUCCAAAUUUCCCAAUCCAAAUUUCCCAAUCCCAAUUUCCCAAACCCCCAAUCCCAGCUUUCCCGGCAUUCCCAGCUUUCCCAGCGUUCCCGUUUUUCCCCAGGGAAGCGGCAGCUUCAUCCCAAUUUCCCAAUCCCAAAUCCCCAAUCCCCAAUCCCAGUCCCAAUUUCCCAAUCCCAAUUUCCCGAAUCCCCAAUCCCAGCUUUCCCGGCAUUCCCAUUUUUCCCCAGGGAAGCAGCGGCUUCAUCCCAAUCCCAAAUUCCCAUUCCCAAAUCCCCAGUCCCAAAUUCCCAUUCUCAAAUCCCCAAUCCCAAUCCCCCAUUCCCAAUCCCAAAUUCCCAUUCCCAAAUCCCCAGUCCCAAAUUCCCAUUCUCAAAUCCCCAAUCCCCAAUCCCAAUCCCAAAUCCCCAAUCCCAAUCCAAAUUUCCCAAUCCAAAUUUCCCAAUCCCAAUUUCCCAAACCCCUAAUCCCAGCUUUCCCGGCGUUCCCGUUUUUCCCCAGGGAAGCAGCGGCUUCAUCCCAAUCCCAAUUUCCCAAUCCCCAAUCCCAAAUCCCCAAUCCCAAUCCCAAUUUUCCAAUCCAAAUUUCCCAAUCCCAAUUUCCCAAACCCCCAAUCCCAGCUUUCCCGGC